Non-coding RNA from Benincasa hispida (wax gourd), 3788 nucleotides. Lineage: Eukaryota; Viridiplantae; Streptophyta; Magnoliopsida; Cucurbitales; Cucurbitaceae. The record is from RefSeq and is a predicted model, not a curated record.
GGGUAUCUUCAAUGUCAAGUUGUGCCCAUCAUUCUUUAUGACAGAUAAAGAUGGGUUUAGGUUGACGCUAGCUUCAAAAGCGUCAUGAAAAGUCUACUUUUUCUAAUGAUUUUGUUGACGAACGAAAAAGUACGUCAAUAAUUCAGGGUUAAAGGUAGAGAAUUGGGAAUGGUGCUUAUAUAUACAUCCACAGGGACCCCUGGUUGAAGGAUGCUAGCCCUAAAACUCCUUUUUGCUUGAACAAAAACAUGCAGUCCAAACAUGUUCCUUGAUCUCAAGGGGAAUUGGAAUUGUUCUUUAAUUAGCGAAUCCUUUCUCCCUAUUGAUGCCAAGACCAUUAUGAGCAUGCCAAGGAUGGAUUGUAGGGGAGCUGAUGAGGUUAUCUGGGGCUUGGAGUCGAAAGGUUGCUUUUCGGUUAAGAAUGUUUAUAAUUUAGCGGUUAGUGAGAAGGUUGCGAUGCUUGUAUCUGGAUUGGAUUCUCUUAGGUCUAAGCCCCUUUGGAAUUCGGUCUGGAAGCUUAAGGUGCUGCCUAAAGGGAAGUGUUGUGUGGAAAACAAUCAACAAUUAUCAUUCCUACCUUGGUAAUAUUAUUAAGAAAGGUGUUAUUACUAAUCCUCUUUGUUUGUUUUGCAGGAAGUAUGUGGAGUAUUUGAGUCAUGUGUUCUGGGAAUGCAAAUUCAUGGGCGUUUGGCGCGCAGGUUUAAAAUCAAAAGCCUAGAUGCUUAUUUGAGAGGGUUUUGAUGUCUGGGAAUCACAAAUGACUAUGUUUAGGGGGCAGGGAUUGAAUGCUUGAGUUUUUGAAGCCUGUGUUUUGAAAGAACCUGUGAAGGCUCCGCAAUGGAAGCGGGGAUCGUUCCCAAUUUUUGUUUUCACAGAACUUUAAUUUACAGAACAAAGACAAGAAAAAUUAUGCAUUAAACAUUAAAUUUACAACAUGCUUAGGGGAGAAUUAGGAAAGAAAAGAACGCCUACCUUUGAAGAAAUUACAGUCUUCACGAAUUCCCUCAAUCUGAAUCACAAACUCUUCGUUCUGGAUCUUGAUCUUCCAAAAAGAAAAUCCCAAAUAGUCACCACAAAUUGGAACCUCUUGUAUUCUCCUUAGGAGUUGAGAAUUAGCAGGAGGUGUGGGCUCUGCUAAGUUAUUUGGAAAGAUAGAGGAGAGGAUUUGAGAGGAAGAAGAAGAAAAACCCUUGAUCUUAGGGUGAAAAGCCAGAGAGAGAUGCUUGUUUUCUUCUUUCUCUACGUAAAAAAUGUAAGCAAGAAGAACCAACGUCUCAUAACCCUUUCAACACCACCAAUGAUGGCACUAGAAAAAAUUCGGGCUUUAAUGUCGGUUGAAAAAAGUGAAAUCGAAUGUAUAAUGUCGGUUUUUUUUAAAAAAAACAAAACGGAUCUUUAAUGUCGGUUUUAAACCGACAUUGAAGAUAGGCUUUAAUGUCGGUUUAACCGACAUUAAAGGUGUAAUUUUUUUUUCCUUAUUUUAUUAAAUAAUAUAACCCUAAAUCGUGGCUCCUUCUCUUUUUUACCUUUUGCGCCGACAUUAAAUAAUAUAACCUUAAAUCGCCGUCGCUUCUUAUCUUCGUUAUCAGCUUUCUUCCCUCGCCAUCUGUUGAUCGUUCUUCACGCCGUUUGUCGAUCAUUCACGCGAUUUAGGUAUUUUGAUAUUUUUCUUUAAAACUUCGUGGAUAGAUAUCAUCUUUGUUAGCUUUAAGAGUGUUUCACUUCAUUAUAUGUUGAUAUAGAUGUUGUCCUUCUAAUUUUUAAAGCUAAUUGAUAAAGACGAGAUAUCUAUUUUUUUCUCCUUUGAAAUGAUGUUAUAAGAUAAGGAAAAGAGAAAGAAGGGGAAAAAAGGUGAAGAGUGUCCUAAGUAAAGAAUCUACUGCAAUCAAUUAAGAAGAGAAUUUAUCAUGGCUCAGCUUAUUCUCUAUUUCUCUCUCUAGUCAAAAAGUAUUUCCCACAAAAUAAAUUUGGAUUCAAAUCAAUUCCCCCCCCCCAACACACACACAAACAAAACCAAUUUCCAUUCAGAUUUGAAUUGAAUGGUUCAAAAUCACUAUCAUUAUGAAAUGAGAAUACACACAACCAAAAGAAAAGUUUAUGCAACUUUAAUAAGACUAUUUCAGAGGAGGAGAUCGUAGACAGGUCCAAUCCAUUGAAACAAACACCAUUUUCCACUUCUAGAGUCUAUUUGUUGUGUGCUAGCAUGUUUCAGGCUUCUAUUGUAAUUUAUAUAUUAUUUAUGGCUACAUAUUGAUCAUCUUGAAUCAUGUGUUUUGGCUAAAUAAUAGCAUGUUGUGAUGUCAUGUAGUAAUGUAAUAGCUUACGUGUGAAUGAGUUAUUAAGUGAUAUGGUGCAUAUGACUUUGUUGAUAGUUUGGUUGUGCAUAUGAUUAUGUUGGAGGCAUGUUGUUAUUUUAUGUAUUUUGACAUGAGAUAUGGUUUAGGAUUAUAUGGUAGAAAUCAUGCAUUGGUGAGAUUUUGUGAGAAGAGGGUUGAAAACCUUGUGAACUUGUAAAGAAAAUGUCUCAAUGUUGGAGGCAUGUUGUUACUUUAUGUGUUUUGGCAUGAAAUUUUUGUUCUUAUGUUUACGCCUCUCAACUGUUUGUGUAAAUGUCUCAAUGAAAGCCAGCUAUGAUUUCACUCCAAUAUGUCUCUCUGCUCCUAGAUUUUGGCCUUUUUAUGUGACUAUGGCCUUUGAAAUUCGAUUUGAUUAAUGGUUUUGUUGUAUAUGAUACAUUUGUUGAAUUACUUGAAGUUUUAAUGCAUAAUUACUUGCUACCUUUUGUGAUAACAUCCUUAAGAAAGGUAGGAAUGAGAAGUGGAGUGAUGAAACAAUUAAGGAGACACUUGAGAAGUUGGGAGAAAUCUAGCAAUUUGGAUGUGGGUAGUUGUUAGCCUAAGCAUAUUGGAAAAUAAUAAGUGUUAUCUCCUGGACUGUGGUGCUGAAAUAUUUGUUUGGGUUGGAAGAGUGACACAGUAGAGGAGCGAAAAGCAACAAUUCAAGUAGCUGAGGAAUUUAUUGCCAGCCAGAAUAGGCCAAAGGAAACUCGUGUGACUCGGAUUAUACAAGGCUAUGAAACACAUUCUUUUAAGUCCAACUUCGAGUCCUAGCCAGUUGGAUCAGUGACUACAGGUGCUGAGGAAGGAAGAGGUAUGGCGAAUCAAUGGCAGUGCCAAAACUCCAUUGUUUGUAGAGGAUAUUGGUAAAUUUUAUAGUGGAGACUGCUACAUCAUUCUUUACACCUACCACUCUGGUGAGAGGAAAGAAGAUUAUUUCUUGUGCUCUUGGUUUGAAAAGGAUAGAAUCGAGGAAGAUCAAAAGAUGGCUACACGGUUGACGAAUACAAUGUCCAACUCGUUGAAAGGGAGAUCUGUUUAGACUCGUAUAUUUCAAGGCAAAGAGCCACCCCAAUUUAUUGACCUCUUUCAACCUUUUGUGGUACUCAAAGUGGGUGGCUUGAGCUUUAGUUACAAGAAACUCAUAGCAGAUAAAGCUUUGGCUAAUGAAACUUACACAGAAGAUUCUGUUGCCCUUAUUAGGAUAUCACAAACAUCCAUUCACAACAAUAAAGCAAUGCAAAUUGAAGUUGUUGCAACCUCAUGGAACUCUACUGAGUGUUUUGUCCUGCAAUCCGGCUCUUCUGUUUUCUCUUGGCAUGGAAACCAAAGUACAUUCGAGCAGAACAGUUAGCUGGCAAAAGUUGCAGAGUUUCUAAGGCUAAGUGCUCAGACAAAGAUGCCUAUAACCAGACACUGCUGAAGUUGGGGGGUCUGUUCAAGAAGAAUUAU